CUGUGCGGGCCAGGCCGGGAGGGGGCAGUCAGCCGGCCCGGUGGCUGGGGGCAGCUGAGGGACGGCCCCCUAAGUUUCAUUGGUUAGAGAAUCCCCAGGUGGGGGCGUGGCCAGGACUUGGCACACCUGUACCUGCUCUGAGGGGCGGGGAAUGGGACCCAGCCGGUUUAUUCUAAUUCCUCUUCUGUGAAAUGGGAACAGUCUUUAAUCCUGCUUUCUCAGAAAACGGCCAAGAAGGUUGACUUGACCUAAGCAGAAUUCCCCAAUUACCAAGUAGUGGUGAGCCCAGAUUUUCAGAUUCCAGAAUCAGGGUUUCUUUCCAUUGUUUGAUGCCGGACCAGAGAGCUUAAAGUCCUUUCCAACCCCAAAAUUCUGCAAUUCAGUGAAUUUUUGCUAUCUCCUAG
This is a long non-coding RNA of Antechinus flavipes (yellow-footed antechinus), 404 nucleotides long. RefSeq lists it as uncharacterized. Lineage: Eukaryota; Metazoa; Chordata; Mammalia; Dasyuromorphia; Dasyuridae. The record is from RefSeq and is a predicted model, not a curated record. The transcript has 2 exons.